Molecule: long non-coding RNA, 4215 nt
Filed under: Anolis carolinensis (green anole)
Lineage: Eukaryota; Metazoa; Chordata; Lepidosauria; Squamata; Anolidae
Description: lncRNA (ENSACAG00000038893.1)
Source: RNAcentral
AGGGACUCAGAACGGAUUACAGAAUACACAUACAAGGCAAACAUUUAAUCCCUAUUACACAGUGAAGCAACGACAUAUGAUACACAGACAAAGGAUGUAAUUCAAGAGUUUCCACAAUGCCUGUAAAGGAGUCUGGAGAUUUGUUGAAUGAUGGCUUCAGCUGAAUGAGGCAAUCACCGAGCAAGAAAAUGUCCUGGAAAAUGACAUCAUCAUUGUGUAUCUGGAUAUAUUCACAUAAACAGACAUUGCACAGACAUGCCCAUCUUUCCACCAGCCAAUACAUGACAGUGGAGGGGAGGCAAAAGAACAAGUCCCAUUACAAUGAAAACAACUACUUUUGGGGCGGUUGCAUGGGUGAAGUGCUACCACCGCCGAAAAAAUGGCAAUGGCAGACAACAGCAGGCUCCCCGUCAUUCCAUAAGGAAAGCUGGAUCGAGCAGCCGAAAAACGGCUUUCCCCCCAUGUGAUGAGGAAGAGAGGAAGCCGUGACGGAAUGGGGCAUGGAGAGACAGGUCACCAUACCCCCUGCAUGACUGCUGGCAGGACACAGUGAUCUGCAAUGUCUUCGGCAGCACGUGUGAAGAGGUUGUAACUGGUGAGAUCAGAAGGAUGUAGUCUCAUUUGAUUUUGAUUUUUUGCAGAGGUGAGAAAAUGAACAUAAUCUUUAAUAAGCUUAUUUAUCCAUUUACUUUGCUUUCACUCAGUGUAAAAAUGCACUUCUAAGACAAAAGUUGCCAUCACACAUGACUAGUGGAUGAAAAUACAUGCAGACAGAAUUUGUCAUACAAAUGAGAUCAGUUAAUGCAACUUUUCACAGUACCGCUGUUUCUUUUUACCUACUUCAUCUUAUUUCUUAGAACAAAGAUUAAUACUACAGAAAAAGUUAUGACACUUGUAGUCUUUCCAAAGAUCUCUUUGUUAACAACUGUCAGUAUAACAUAUCAAACUUAGGGCAAACUCCCUUCCCUUGGAUUGAUAUACUUUCAGGUGCUUUAAAGGCUCUUGACAUCAGGACCCCUGUAGAUUCUUUCAAGUUCAUGUUUCCCCCCCACUUCUAGUAGCAAGUGAAGCCCCGACUUCUAAUGGGGGCUCUGCAAAUAUCUCAUCAAUAUUUAAAGUGCCAUGUGUGUUUCUGUUAGUGCUACCAAUUGCAGAUCAAAGGCAUUACCUCUGAGGUGAUGCAUUCCCUUCAAGGGACUCACAGUUGAGCCUUUCUUUCUUUCUUUCUUUCUUUCUUUCUUUCUUUCUUUCUUUCUUUCUUUCUUUCUUUCUUUCCUUCUUUCUUUCUUUUGGAAGAACUUCUUUUAACACCAUCUGCUUUUUCUUGGGCCUUGAGCAUGUUGUUUGGCAACUAUGGGGAAUUCAGUGUACAGUCAGUGAAAAUGCCAAAGUACAUAUUCUGGUCAUUUGAGGGAGGAAAGGAUGAAAAAGACUUUUCUCCUGCAGUUUUCAUUCUCCCCCCUCCCAAUACCCAGUUUAAUACCAGAGGACUGUUGAUACUGAAGCUGAAUCAACAUGGGUAUUUUUCUGAGAAUAGAGUAACAUAAGAACAUCCAGUCUAAUCAGGGCCAUAGCUGGGGGGGGGGGGGGUUAAGGGUUCAACCCUCCCUGAAAGGGUUCACCCCCUCUCAAAACCCUGAAAUUGUAGUUGCUGGUUGUGUCCAUGCUCAGCCAAUCAGAGCAUGGACACAACCGGACCUUUUAUUGGCUGAGAAAAAGAGAAAGAGAAAAAACUUCAAAUUCCAUCAUGCUCCGAGUGGAACUCAGAGACUUUUCAAUGCCUGUCCCAUGCAAAUGCUGCAGGGAAAGCGAGUUCCCAGUAGGGUCCUCUCUGGAGGAGGAGCCUGUUGGGACAUGUAAAAAUCAGUGUGUGUUAACCAAAAAUGUAAAGCAUGAAGCUGAUUGGUUUGGGCCACACCCAGGGAGCUAGCUGAGCCUGGGAGUUUUGGCAACAGUUGCAGAUAGCUUUCUGUGCAGGAGCUUAGCAGGAGAGGUUUUUGCUCCUGGGCUGCUGAAGGAAGACAUUUUACAUGGACAAAUUAAAAACCAUUUGAAUCUCCCUCAAAGGAUAUUGUGUGAGUUAAUGCAACUGUUGAAAUGACUGUAUAUAUGUUGCUCUGCAUUUUGAACAGUAAACUUCUUGUUAUUUACUGAUGAUCUGCAUGGCAUAUCUUUUCUCUGGCAAGACAGUGUGUGGACUGGUCAAAGGUGAACUACGCGUGAUUUGCAUCCUGUCACAGAUCCUAGGGAACCUUUCCAAAAGAAAUGGACACUUCACUACCAGGGAGGGAAAAAAGAUGUUGCAGGUAAUCCCAUCUUCCUCAGGAGCCCCGUGGCAGACCCCUGACUCAGAUAUAUUGGAGACUUAACUCCACACUCUUCAGUAGCCAAUAAAUCCAGCUCUCUUGAUCCAUUUCCCCCAGCUUUUUUUGUUUCUUCCUCCAUGUUCUGUUUUCAGAGGAUUACACAAAAUGGACCACCGAAUAUUAUAAAUUACUUGUGGUCAAACUGAUCUGGGUCCAAGCCUCGUAACUGGGUUGUCAUUGUUUCUCUUUUAUAAAAGUACAGAAAUCUCUCCUCCUCUUUAUCUUCUCUUUCUCUUCCUCCUCCUACUUCUUCUAAAUUUGCAUGGAAUCAUUACUAUACAAAUAUUAUAAUUUACUAAUUUUUCUCUUCUUUCCAAAUCAGGGGGCCCUUGAUGAUCAACUUUAAAUCAUUAUUUGAUGAACUUUAAAGUCUGAGCUAAAUCUUGGUGGUCUGAGGCAACAAAAGUUCAUUGUAAGGAAAAGCAUUUAACAGCUGUUCUUAUAUGGUCCAUCUUUAACAGCUAUUUGUGGAUAUUUGGUCACAGUUCUGAACACUGCACUUUUAAGCCACGGGGAAAAAAUAAUUCUAUAAAGCUCAGGAACUCACACAUAAGUGCAAAUUCCCCUUGUCUUUGUGAGGUUUUUUUUUUUGUUUUUUUUUUUUUUGCAAAGCCUUACUUGUGAGCAAUCACUUCUAAAGUCAUAGAAACAACUUGAUUUCUCUUGUUAAAAAUGAAUGCACCCCUAUCCAUCAGGUCUGACUUGUGGUUUUGAGACUGUACUUUAAGCAACUAGAAAUAGUGUGAUGGGAUUUUAAACUGUACAGUUCAAUAUGGCAGAGAGAUCGACAUUCUGCCAAUUAAUGUGAGGAAGGCAGAGAUAUUAGAAUGUUGGAGUCAUCAAAUAAUGUAAAGUUAGAUGGGAUUUUUUGUGUGUGGAAGCCAUGCAGUGUCAAUGUUCAGCAAAAUGAAUCUAUGCUGACUUCACAUACCAUCGAAGGAGCCGGCCUGUCUGUGUCUUGCAGUUCAGAGAUUUUUAAUAUCAUCCUAAACAGAAAUUCAAGGGUUUUACUGCUAGGAAGAACCACUUUACAUGCUUUUUGAAAUAAUCUUUACUUCUGCUAUUGAUUCUGUAUAUAUGAACCCAUUGCCCAAUAUCCAUUUGGCCAGGGCACAUUCAUGAAAACAAAGGAUGCAUUUUACAGUAUUUUUAAUUAAUUUUUUAAAAAUAAAUUCAGAUAAAAUCUUUGCUUUGACAUUACAAGAAAUGAUGAAAGGGCCAUGUAUAAGCAUUACUGACAGGAGAGAUGCAGUUCUUGUUUUUGAUCCUAGCGUCCAUUUCUGAUGAAACUUAGAUUGACAAUAUGUAUUAUGUGGCAAACAUGGUUAUAUUUAUACCAGUGUUCCCACAAAAAUGUGUGUGGCACAUUUGUGAAUAUUUAUCGAGUAGAUUUGAUUGGAACAACAUGAAUAUGCUGUAGGAGGAGAAAAUGGUCUAGUGGAGCCCGGAGCAUCAGCAUUAAAAGUGUAGGUCUUUUCUUUAUUUCUGGAGACAUGCCAUCAUCAGCCCUUUCAUGUAAUUAUCUAAUAUUCUCUUGGUUUAGCUGAGAUCCCCACAGUUCCUGGGCAGUAGGGAAGGAAUAGAUUUUGUCACCAUCAAUAUUUUGUUAUGAUGUAGUCCACUGAUAAUCCAAAUUUUAUGGUUUCUUGGUAUUGAAUAGGUGUUAGGUCCCAUUAGCUUUACCAAAGUCCUCUUCCUACUUGAAAUGAACACUAACAGUGGAAAAUACACAGUCAUUGUAACACGUCUGCCAUUGGAAUACAAAUGAAUUAGGACCUCAUUACAUUUAAGCUUCCUAGGAUGCUGGGAGUAUGGAGCCUUCCAGAUCCCAUCCAACAAUGUACAGCUA